Molecule: ribosomal RNA, 433 nt
Filed under: uncultured bacterium
Lineage: Bacteria
Description: partial 16S ribosomal RNA
Rfam family: Bacterial small subunit ribosomal RNA
Source: RNAcentral
AACGAACGCUGGCGGCAGGCCUAACACAUGCAAGUCGAGCGGACCCUUCGGGGUUAUCGGCGGACGGGUGAGUAACGCGUGGGAAUAUGCCCUUCUCUACGGAAUAGUCCUGGGAAACUGGGGGUAAUACCGUAUACGCCCUUUGGGGGAAAGAUUUAUCGGGGAAGGAUUAGCCCGCGUUGGAUUAGGUAGUUGGUGGGGUAAUGGCCUACCAAGCCGACGAUCCAUAGCUGGUUUGAGAGGAUGAUCAGCCACACUGGGACUGAGACACGGCCCAGACUACUACGGGAGGCAGCAGAGGGGAAUCUUAGACAAUGGGGGCAACCCUGAAGGAGCCAUGCCGCGAGAGUGAUGAAGGCCUUAGGGUUGUAAAGCUCUUUCAGCUGGGAAGAUAAUGACGGUAACAGAAGAAGAAGCCCCGGCUAACUCCGUG